RNAcentral lists this ribosomal RNA (899 nucleotides) under uncultured bacterium. Its description in RNAcentral is "bacterial SSU rRNA". It matches the Rfam family "Bacterial small subunit ribosomal RNA", at positions 26 to 896 of the family's 1533-position model. The record is from RNAcentral.
AGAAUGAACGCUGGCGGCGUGCUUAACACAUGCAAGUCGUACGAGAACACCCUAGCUUGCUAGGGUAAGUAAAGUGGCGCACGGGUGAGUAACGCGUGGGUAAUCUACCUUCGAAUUGGGGAUAACGUUGCGAAAGCGACGCUAAUACCGAAUAACAUCCAUUAAUCUUCGGGUUUUUGGAUCAAGGGUGGCCUCUACAUGUAAGCUACUGUUUGAAGAUGAGCCCGCGUACCAUUAGCUUGUUGGUGGGGUAAUGGCCUACCAAGGCUUCGAUGGUUAGCUGGUCUGAGAGGAUGAUCAGCCACACUGGAACUGACACACGGUCCAGACUCCUACGGGAGGCAGCAGUGAGGAAUUUUGCGCAAUGGGGGAAACCCUGACGCAGCAACGCCGCGUGAGUGACGAAGGCUUUCGGGUCGUAAAGCUCUGUCAAGUGGGAAGAACCUACAGUAUGCUAAUAUCAUAUUGUACUGACGGUACCACUGAAGGAAGCACCGGCUAACUCCGUGCCAGCAGCCGCGGUAAUACGGGGGGUGCAAGCGUUAUUCGGAAUCAUUGGGCGUAAAGAGCACGUAGGCGGCUUGGUAAGUCAGAUGUGAAAGCCCGGGGCUUAACCCCGGAAGUGCAUUUGAUACUGCCAGGCUUGAGUAUGGGAGAGGGAAGUGGAAUUCCUGGUGUAGAGGUGAAAUUCGUAGAUAUCAGGAGGAACACCGGUGGCGAAGGCGACUUCCUGGACCAAUACUGACGCUGAGGUGCGAAGGCGUGGGUAGCAAACAGGAUUAGAUACCCUGGUAGUCCACGCAGUAAACGUUGUUCACUAGGUGUAGCGGGUAUUGACCCCUGCUGUGCCGCAGUUAACGCAUUAAGUGAACCGCCUGGGGAGUACGGCCGCAAGGUUA